Molecule: ribosomal RNA, 467 nt
Filed under: uncultured bacterium
Lineage: Bacteria
Description: partial 16S ribosomal RNA
Rfam family: Bacterial small subunit ribosomal RNA
Source: RNAcentral
GAUGAACGCUGGCGGCGCGCCUAACACAUGCAAGUCGAACGAUUAAAGCACCUUCGGGUGUGUAUAAAGUGGCGAACGGCUGAGUAACACGUGGGCAACCUGCCCCUUUCAUUGGGAUAGCCACGGGAAACCGUGGAUAAUACCGAAUACUUCGAGACUUCCGCAUGGAAGACUCGAGAAAGCUCCGGCGGAGAGGGAUGGGCCCGCGGCCUGUUAGCUUGUUGGUGGGGUAACGGCCUACCAAGGCAAUGAGGGGUAGCUGGGUUGAGAGACCGACCAGCAAGAUUGGGACAGAGACAGGCCCCAGACUCCUGGGGGGGGCAGCGGGGGGGACUCUUGCACAGGGGGCGAAGGCCUGAGGCAGCGCCGCGGCGUGGGGGAGGAAGGCCUGGGGUUUUUAACCCCUUUCCGGCAGGGACGGGGGGAAGGAGAGGGUCCCUGAAGAAGAGCCCCGGGCAAACUACGUC